GACGAACGCUGGCGGCGUGCUUAACACAUGCAAAUCGAACGGAAAGGCCCUGCUUUUGUGGGGUGCUCGAGUGGCGAACGGGUGAGUAACACGUGAGUAACCUGCCCUUGACUUUGGGAUAACUUCAGGAAACUGGGGCUAAUACCGGAUAGGAGCUCCUGCUGCAUGGUGGGGGUUGGAAAGUUUCGGCGGUUGGGGAUGGACUCGCGGCUUAUCAGCUUGUUGGUGGGGUAGUGGCUUACCAAGGCUUUGACGGGUAGCCGGCCUGAGAGGGUGACCGGCCACAUUGGGACUGAGAGACGGCCCAGACUCCUACGGGAGGCAGCAGUGGGGAAUAUUGCACAAUGGGCGGAAGCCUGAUGCAGCAACGCCGCGUGCGGGAUGACGGCCUUCGGGUUGUAAACCGCUUUCGCCUGUGACGAAGCGUGAGUGACGGUAAUGGGUAAAGAAGCACCGGCUAACUACGUG
RNAcentral lists this ribosomal RNA (468 nucleotides) under uncultured bacterium. RNAcentral's name for it is "partial 16S ribosomal RNA". It matches the Rfam family "Bacterial small subunit ribosomal RNA", at positions 28 to 507 of the family's 1533-position model. The record is from RNAcentral.